Drosophila eugracilis is the source of this 896-nucleotide long non-coding RNA. RefSeq lists it as uncharacterized. The transcript is spliced from 5 exons. The record is from RefSeq and is a predicted model, not a curated record. NCBI's taxonomy places the organism in Eukaryota, Metazoa, Arthropoda, Insecta, Diptera, Drosophilidae.
AAGGGCCCUAAGUACUCACUAAAAUCAGUUUCGUUUUCGGACUUGACGGGGCAACAGCUCUGGUUUUUAUUUGUUUUGGAAAAAUCUUGUGUCAAAAUUUAGUGUUAUUAAAAUGUUUUAAACUAAUUUUAAAGAUUUGUGAUUAAAGGACACAGAACACAGAACACAAGAUGUUUUUGCAUGUGGAAUAGCCCGCAGUUUUAAUGAAACGACUCCAUCCGUCUAAACUUUAUGGACAAACCACUACAUCUCACACCUCGGCAAUUUUCGGUGCUGAUGCUGAUUACCUAACAAAGUCUUAAAACUAUAUAAGACUAUAUUUAACUUGGCUUUUAUUCAGACUAAUUGGCUAUACUACUACUUUCACCAAUCAAAAAUGCAAAAUCGGAAAAACUGGAAUGUGCCGUCGAAACUGAAAACAUUAGUGGUUGGAUGUCGUACAUUACCCUGCGGUUAGGGUUGGUUAUGAGCAAUAAUAAUGAAACUGUAUCGUUUUAGUCUGAGCUACAAAUAUUCCAGGUAUCCAAACUCUACUUUGAUUCGAAUUACAGUAUCAUACAAUUCGGAAUGUUGCAUAAUGCAACGAGUUACAAGCUUUGCCACAUUUUUACUGCGUGGAUACCAAUAUUGCAUCGUACUAGCAAUAUAAACAUUGAACUUAUGCGUCGAAGUAUAGUAUCAUAACAAUAUUUCAUACACUAUAAUGCUGAAAUAUUGUACAAUACAACGAAUUAUAAGCUAUACGACAUUCCCACAACUCACUGCGGCGAUACCGGUUUUGUUAAAUCCGAUUUUGCACCGUACCAGUAUAGAAUGAAUAUUGAACUUCUGCAUGGAAUUAUAGUAUCAUUACAAAAACAUUAUACAUCAAAUUUAAAUAAAAAUAAGGAUUUUAA